This 156-nucleotide small nuclear RNA is filed under the name Triticum aestivum (bread wheat). RNAcentral describes it as "partial small subunit ribosomal RNA". The stretch from base 24 to 156 matches the Rfam family "U1 spliceosomal RNA", at positions 1 to 137 of the family's 166-position model. From Rfam's summary of the family: U1 is a small nuclear RNA (snRNA) component of the spliceosome (involved in pre-mRNA splicing). Its 5' end forms complementary base pairs with the 5' splice junction, thus defining the 5' donor site of an intron. There are significant differences in sequence and secondary structure between metazoan and yeast U1 snRNAs, the latter being much longer (568 nucleotides as compared to 164 nucleotides in human). The record is from RNAcentral. Lineage: Eukaryota; Viridiplantae; Streptophyta; Magnoliopsida; Poales; Poaceae.
GGCGCCUUGGCCAACGUUGCAAAGCACUUACCUGGACGGGGUCAACAGCCGAUCAAGAAGAGCUGUGGCCUAGAUCAAUGGCUCACAUUGCACCUUGUUGAGUGUGUUGGCCUACCAUCUCCCUACGGGGAGAGUGGACGUCAUAAUUUGUGCUAG